This is a long non-coding RNA of Hevea brasiliensis (rubber tree), 606 nucleotides long. RefSeq lists it as uncharacterized. The transcript is spliced from 3 exons. Lineage: Eukaryota; Viridiplantae; Streptophyta; Magnoliopsida; Malpighiales; Euphorbiaceae. The record is from RefSeq and is a predicted model, not a curated record.
AUGGAGAUAAAAAUAAAAUUAAAAAGACAUUUUUUUUUCUUCUUCUUCUCCAAAUUUCCGUAGCUCUCUUUCUCUCAUUUGUUCUCUCACCAAAAACCUCCAUUAAAGCAUGAAAUCAAGCUCUUAAACCCCUAAAUUACCCAUAAAUUCCCCAAAUUUCUUUGAUUAAAGCUUGUUAUCUUCACUUGAGAAGAAGAUUGUGGAAGGAAAGAAAGGAAGAAAAAGGAAGAAAUUGAAGAAGUAAAGAUCAAACAAAGUUGAAAAGAAUACCGGGAAAGAACCCGAGACAUCGAUUCAAGGCCUAGAGGCGACUCGCACAAGUCAUAGUACUCAGCGAUGGCUGUUUAUUGCUAUCGCAGAUAGAGAGACUAGUAGAGCAGCGGAGUGAGCUGCUGAGGAUUUCAGAGCUACUUCUGGACCUUUUGUCGGGUAUAAUUUUAUACUCUGAUUGUACAUAUUUAUUUUGAUGUAAUUAACUGUAUAUACAUUUGUAAAUUGGUCAUGAGCAGUUGUACAGAUUUUGUAAUAAUAUUAUUUUGGGUUUUCUGAUGUAAAUUUAGACUAAUAAAUGUAAAUAAACUUUUCUUCAAUGAAAUGCAAAUGAGA